Molecule: ribosomal RNA, 305 nt
Filed under: uncultured bacterium
Lineage: Bacteria
Description: bacterial SSU rRNA
Rfam family: Bacterial small subunit ribosomal RNA
Source: RNAcentral
UUCCUACGGGACGCAGCAGUGGGGGAUAUUGCACAAUGGGUGGAACCCUGAUGCAGCGACGCCGCGUGGGUUACUAAGCGCCUCGGCGCGUAAAGCCCUGUCAGCAGGGAAGAAAAUGACGGUACCUGAAGAAGAAGCCCCGGCUAACUACGUGCCAGCAGCCGCGGUAAUACGUAGGGGGCCAGCGUUAUCCGGAUUUACUGGGUGUAAAGGGGGCGCAGACGGCGAUGCAAGCCAGGAGUGAAAGCCCGGGGCCCAACCCCGGGACUGCUCUGGGAACUGCGUGGCUGGAGGGCAGGAGGGGG